Molecule: small nucleolar RNA, 68 nt
Organism: Mustela putorius furo (domestic ferret)
Lineage: Eukaryota; Metazoa; Chordata; Mammalia; Carnivora; Mustelidae
Source: Ensembl
UGGAUCGAUGAUGACCACUGGUGGCGCAUGAGUCCUGUACAAUGAAUACGUGAAACUCUGAGGUCCAA